GAUGAACGCUGGCGGCGUGCCUAAUACAUGCAAGUCGAGCGAACAGACGAGGAGCUUGCUCCUCUGACGUUAGCGGCGGACGGGUGAGUAACACGUGGAUAGCCUACCUAUAAGACUGGGAUAACUUCGGGAAACCGGAGCUAAUACCGGAUAACAUGUUGAACCGCAUGGUUCAACAGUGAAAGACGGUCUUGCUGUCACUUAUAGAUGGAUCCGCGCCGCAUUAGCUAGUUGGUAAGGUAACGGCUUACCAAGGCAACGAUGCGUAGCCGACCUGAGAGGGUGAUCGGCCACACUGGAACUGAGACACGGUCCAGACUCCUACGGGAGGCAGCAGUAGGGAAUCUUCCGCAAUGGGCGAAAGCCUGACGGAGCAACGCCGCGUGAGUGAAGAAGGUCUUCGGAUCGUAAAACUCUGUUAUUAGGGAAGAACAAAUGUGUAAGUAACUAUGCACGUCUUGACGGUACCUAAUCAGAAAGCCACGGCUAACUACGUG
RNAcentral lists this ribosomal RNA (497 nucleotides) under uncultured bacterium. RNAcentral's name for it is "partial 16S ribosomal RNA". It matches the Rfam family "Bacterial small subunit ribosomal RNA", at positions 28 to 507 of the family's 1533-position model. The record is from RNAcentral.